Molecule: ribosomal RNA, 253 nt
Filed under: uncultured bacterium
Lineage: Bacteria
Description: partial 16S ribosomal RNA
Rfam family: Bacterial small subunit ribosomal RNA
Source: RNAcentral
UACAGAGGGUGCGAGCGUUGUCCGGAAUCACUGGGCGUAAAGGGCGCGUAGGCGGUCUGCUAAGCGUGUGGUGAAAGCUCGGGGCUCAACCCCGAGUCGGCCAUGCGAACUGGUGGACUGGAGCAUGUCAGAGGCAGGCGGAAUUCCGGGUGUAGCGGUGGAAUGCGUAGAGAUCCGGAAGAACACCGGUGGCGAAGGCGGCCUGCUGGGACAUUGCUGACGCUGAGGCGCGACAGCGUGGGGAGCAAACAGG